CUUGCCUCAGCUGCAAGUUUCUGCUGCGUCGAAAGGAAUCCUCUGAUAGAAGUGUCAGUUAUCACCCAAGCGAUGCCAGGGGAGAAAGGAAAAGCAGAAAGAAAGGAGAAUAUCUUCUAAUCACAGCAUUUAAAAGGCAGCUACACGAAGACUUGUUCCAUAUUUUUAAAGGAACAUUGCAUAGUUUAAUCACAUUCUUUACUGUGAACUUACAGAGGUGAGUGCUUCUCAUGUUGUAUCUAAACAUUCUCUUUUCCAAAGCGAAUGUGCACCAGCUAGCCACAGUCACAGGUAAAAGUGCCUGGGAGAUCUUGAGAAAUUAUCAUUAUUAACAAGGAAUCAAUUCAAUUGUGUUUAGCUAUCGAGAAUACAAACAUCCUUCUGUGAUACAAACUAAAAUUUUUGUUUUGGCAUAAAGCAAAGCCUAGAUUUAUUCCAGAUUAAUAUAUAUAUUAGAUUUUUAAUGUAUGUUAAAUUGUGUUAAUAUGCUCACAUAUUUUCUAAUGUUGAUUUCUGGAGAAAAUACUGCAAAGUAGGCUUAUAAAAUAGCGUGUACAACCCAAGAAGUGUUUGGAUUUGUAUAUAUAUGUAUUCAUAUAUGUUGUGCAUGUUCAUAUGUAGGCUUUCAGUUCUUAGCCUUUGAGAUGAACUAAUUCAGUCUGAAGUGUUUGA
Molecule: long non-coding RNA, 672 nt
Filed under: Anas platyrhynchos platyrhynchos (common mallard)
Lineage: Eukaryota; Metazoa; Chordata; Aves; Anseriformes; Anatidae
Description: lncRNA (ENSAPLG00000026886.1)
Source: RNAcentral